UGGUGUGUCUGCACUAUUGGUUAUAUCUUGGAGGUCAGUUUUUAUUGGUGUUUCUGCACUAUUGGUUAUAUCUUGGGGGUCAGUUUUUAUUGGUGUGUCUGCACUAUUGGUUAUAUCUAGGGGGUCAGUUUUUAUUGGUGUGUCUGCACUAUUGGUUAUAUCUUGGAGGUCAGUUUUUAUUGGUGUGUCUGCACUAUUGGUUAUAUCUUGGAGGUCAGUUUUUAUUGGUGUGUCUGCACUAUUGGUUAUAUCUUGGAGGUCAGUUUUUAUUGGUGUUUCUGCACUAUUGGUUAUAUCUUGGGGGUCAGUUUUUAUUGGUGUGUCUGCACUAUUGGUUAUAUCUUGGAGGUCAGUUUUUAUUGGCGUUUCUGCACUAUUGGUUA
Long non-coding RNA from Mytilus californianus (California mussel), 383 nucleotides. RefSeq lists it as uncharacterized. The record is from RefSeq and is a predicted model, not a curated record. Lineage: Eukaryota; Metazoa; Mollusca; Bivalvia; Mytilida; Mytilidae. The transcript is spliced from 4 exons.